UUCCACAGCAUGUUGCCAUCAAAAGGACUUAGUAAGGAAUCUCAAAUGUGCUUUCCAGUACGAGAAAAAGAAAGAAGAAGUAAGCAAAAGAGGCCACACAAAAGAAUUUGUAGAUUUCAUUGAUACAGACUAUGGAAGAUAAUAUACGAAGAGCUCUAGUAUGUAUGCUUAUCUCAUUAUCUCCAUUUUCAGCUGUAGCCACUGUUCUGACCAGUAAGGAAAGAGCAAUUCCUGUAGAGCUAAAUAAACACCAGACGUGUUUAGUAUAAAUCCAUCAAGAGCGAUCUGGAUCACUCCUGCCCCGCCACUUGCAUGGCAAAGAGGAAAGGCAGAAGGUGAGCAG
Molecule: long non-coding RNA, 343 nt
Organism: Corapipo altera (White-ruffed manakin)
Lineage: Eukaryota; Metazoa; Chordata; Aves; Passeriformes; Pipridae
Exons: 4
Source: RefSeq, a predicted model, not a curated record